This 468-nucleotide ribosomal RNA is filed under the name uncultured bacterium. Its description in RNAcentral is "partial 16S ribosomal RNA". It matches the Rfam family "Bacterial small subunit ribosomal RNA", at positions 28 to 507 of the family's 1533-position model. The record is from RNAcentral.
GACGAACGCUGGCGGCGUGCUUAACACAUGCAAGUCGAACGGAAAGGCCCUGCUUUUGUGGGGUGCUCGAGUGGCGAACGGGUGAGUAACACGUGAGUAACCUGCCCUUGACUUUGGGAUAACUUCAGGAAACUGGGGCUAAUACCGGAUAGGAGCUCCUGCUGCAUGGUGGGGGUUGGAAAGUUUCGGCGGUUGGGGAUGGACUCGCGGCUUAUCAGCUUGUUGGUGGGGUAGUGGCUUACCAAGGCUUUGACGGGUAGCCGGCCUGAGAGGGUGAACGGCCACAUUGGGACUGAGAGACGGCCCAGACGCGUACGGGAGGCAGCAGUGGAGAAUAUUGCACAGUGGGCGGGAGCCUGAUGCAGCAACGCCGCGUGCGGGAUGACGGCCUUCGGGUUGUAAACCGCUUUCGCCUGUGACGAAGCGUGAGUGACGGUAAUGGGUAAAGAAGCACCGGCUAACUACGUG